RNAcentral lists this long non-coding RNA (439 nucleotides) under Hordeum vulgare. RNAcentral's name for it is "long non-coding RNA (HVUL_LNC021692)". The record is from RNAcentral. Lineage: Eukaryota; Viridiplantae; Streptophyta; Magnoliopsida; Poales; Poaceae.
UUAGAAUGAACAGUGCAGUAGCAAUAAAUGCGAGAAUAUUGACUUCCAUAACCUCUUUAUUUUUUAUUUUCACAAUAACUCGGGAUGUAAUCCCAUGGAGAGGAAAAAGGGGUAUCUUGUAAAUUCAAGGGUAGGGCUUGCAUUCUGAUAAUACUGAAUCAAUUCAAUAUUAUGAAUAUCGGAUCUAUCAAAUCAAUUCAUGGAUGAGAGUUAUAUAGUAUAACAUAGGAAGAUCCUAUAUCCAUACUAAGACCAAAAUGGGUUUUUUGAUUGGAUUAGGAAUUCCCUCUUUUUUAAUCCUUUUUUUUCUACUUUUUCUUUUCUAUAUCUCUAACCCACGAGCUUUCUUAAUCUUAUACAAUUUCUCUUCCUUUUUCUUAUAGUUAUACAUACAAUUAUGUAUGUAUUAUAUGAGCAACUUUCUAUGGGUCACAUAGAC